CCUACGGGAGGCAGCAGUGAGGAAUAUUGGUCAAUGGUCGCGAGCCUGAACCAGCCAAGCCGCGUGAAGGAGGAAUGUACUGAGGAUCGUAAACUUCUUUUGUAAGGGAAUAAAGACAGGCACGCGUGCCCUUUUGAGUGUACUUUAAGAAAAAGGAUCGGCUAACUCCGUGCCAGCAGCCGCGGUAAUACGGAGGAUGCGAGCGUUAUCCGGAUUUAUUGGGUUUAAAGGGGGCGGAGGGGGGUUGUUAAGUCAGUGGGUAAAGGCCGGGGCUCAACCGUAGAACGGCAGUUGAUACUGGCAGUCUCGAGUUGAAGAGAGGUAUGCGGAAUGCGCGGUGUAGUGGUGAAAUGCAUAGAUAUCGCGAAGAACUCCGAUUGCGAAGGCAGCUUGC
RNAcentral lists this ribosomal RNA (394 nucleotides) under uncultured bacterium. RNAcentral describes it as "partial 16S ribosomal RNA". It matches the Rfam family "Bacterial small subunit ribosomal RNA", at positions 338 to 729 of the family's 1533-position model. The record is from RNAcentral.